RNAcentral lists this ribosomal RNA (346 nucleotides) under uncultured bacterium. RNAcentral's name for it is "partial 16S ribosomal RNA". It matches the Rfam family "Bacterial small subunit ribosomal RNA", at positions 338 to 681 of the family's 1533-position model. The record is from RNAcentral.
CCUACGGGAGGCAGCAGUGAGGAAUAUUGGUCAAUGGGCGCGAGCCUGAACCAGCCAAGUAGCGUGAAGGAUGACUGCCCUACGGGUUGUAAACUUCUGUUAUAAAGGAAUAAAGUGAGGCACGUGUGCCUUUUUGGAUGGACGUUAUGAAUAAGGAUCGGCUAACUCCGUGCCAGCAGCCGCGGUAAUACGGAGGAACCGAGCGUUAGCCGGAUUUCUGGGGUUUAAAGGGAGCGUAGAGGGGUUGUUAAGUCAGUUGUGAAAGUUUGCGGCUCAACCGUAAAAUUGCAAUUGAUACUGGCAGUCUUGAGUACAGUUGAGGUAGGCGGCAUUCGUGGUGUAGCGG